AGCUUUGCGCAGUGGCAGUAUCGUAGCCAAUGAGGUUUAUCCGAGGCGCGAUUAUUGCUAAUUAAUGUCUUUGAUAAUAUAUUAAGUACACAAGAUUGGGUAAAACUGAUUGGAUGACAUUAGAAAACAUUCUUCAUAAAA
Molecule: small nuclear RNA, 141 nt
Organism: Mustela erminea (ermine)
Lineage: Eukaryota; Metazoa; Chordata; Mammalia; Carnivora; Mustelidae
Product: U4 spliceosomal RNA
Exons: 1
Source: RefSeq, a predicted model, not a curated record